UUGCCCUAGUAACGGCGAGUGAAGCGGCAACAGCUCAAAUUUGAAAUCUGGCUCUUUUAGAGUCCGAGUUGUAAUUUGCAGAGGGCGCUUUGGCUUUGGCAGCGGUCCAAGUUCCUUGGAACAGGACGUCACAGAGGGUGAGAAUCCCGUACGUGGUCGCUGGCUAUUGCCGUGUAAAGCCCCUUCGACGAGUCGAGUUGUUUGGGAAUGCAGCUCUAAAUGGGAGGUACAUUUCUUCUAAAGCUAAAUAUUGGCCAGAGACCGAUAGCGCACAAGUAGAGUGAUCGAAAGAUGAAAAGCACUUUGGAAAGAGAGUCAAACAGCACGUGAAAUUGUUGAAAGGGAAGCGCUUGCAGCCAGACUUGCUUACAGUUGCUCAUCCGGGUUUCUACCCGGUGCACUCUUCUGUAGGCAGGCCAGCAUCAGUUUGGGCGGUAGGAUAAAGGUCUCUGUCACGUACCUCCUUUCGGGGAGGCCUUAUAGGGGAGACGACAUACUACCAGCCUGGACUGAGGUCCGCGCAUCUGCUAGGAUGCUGGCGUAAUGGCUGUAAGCGGCCCGUCUUGAAACACGGACCAAGGAGUCUAACAUCUAUGCGAGUGUUUGGGUGUCAAGCCCGAGCGCGUAAUGAAAGUGAACGGAGGUGGGAACCCGCAAGGGUGCACCAUCGACCGAUCCUGAUGUCUUCGGAAGGAUUUGAGUAAGAGCAUGGCUGUUGGGACCCGAAAGAUGGUGAACUAUGCUUGAAUAGGGUGAAGCCAGAGGAAACUCUGG
This 774-nucleotide ribosomal RNA is filed under the name Alternaria alternata. Its description in RNAcentral is "partial large subunit ribosomal RNA". It matches the Rfam family "Eukaryotic large subunit ribosomal RNA", at positions 75 to 867 of the family's 3401-position model. The record is from RNAcentral. Lineage: Eukaryota; Fungi; Ascomycota; Dothideomycetes; Pleosporales; Pleosporaceae.